Molecule: long non-coding RNA, 646 nt
Filed under: Pan troglodytes (chimpanzee)
Lineage: Eukaryota; Metazoa; Chordata; Mammalia; Primates; Hominidae
Description: lincRNA
Source: RNAcentral
GAGAAGCGUGGGGGCCUUGGGAUAGUUCCAGAAUGAGGAUGUGCGUUUCUAGCUGCUUUGCGCCCUCCUCCCCCAAAAAUCUGCUACCACAAUUCCACCCUGGCGGCACGCCCCCAAGACUCCUUUGUCGCCCCAGGGGCGGGACCUGAGCUGUCGAUUUCAGGAGCCCUUCGUGACUUCAAAAGUCCUGGGCACUGUUGCUCAUGAGUGCUGCACAACUGUCGCCCUCUAAAGCCACCUCCAUCCCUCACUGGGCUGGCCUCCUGAGCCUUCGAAGGAAGCCCGGUGCCAGCCAGCCUUCCUGAAAGACCAAGCCCGCGCCAUCCGGCUUCCUCCAGUGGACGCCUGCAGGACCCAGGUGAGACAAGGAACCGGUUGGGGACGCGAGCCAGGGAUCCUGACCGGUUGGGGGCGGCGAGCAAGGGAUCCUGACUUGGGGGCGUUGCCUCCCGGAAUCCAAGCGGCCUUUUGCCCGGGUCUCCCGAGAUGCAUCGAAAUUGAGCUCGUCCACACAGCCCCCUGACUGCGUGGUGCCCUUUUCUGACUUAAAACAUUCCUUGUACCUUUAUUUACACGAUCCAAGUUGCAGUGUGCCUAGAUUUUCCUCCAAGGACAAAAAUGUGAAUAAAGCAAUAUUUUAGCCAAA